This 448-nucleotide ribosomal RNA is filed under the name Notocaryoplana arctica. RNAcentral's name for it is "partial 16S ribosomal RNA". The stretch from base 199 to 448 matches the Rfam family "Bacterial large subunit ribosomal RNA", at positions 2079 to 2600 of the family's 2925-position model. The record is from RNAcentral. Lineage: Eukaryota; Metazoa; Platyhelminthes; Proseriata; Otoplanidae.
UUCUUUUUGAAAAUUUAAAAAGUAGGGCCUGCCCAAUGAAAAAUAUUUUAAAUGGCUGCAUUAAUUUGUACUAAGGUAGCAUAAUUACUUGUUUUUUAAUUGAAGACUUGUUUGAAUGGUUUUUUGAUAAAAAUAAGCUUGAGUAAAAAUUUAUUUGAAUUUUUGUGUUAUGGUAAAAACACAUAAAUUUUUAAAAAAGACGAUAAGACCCUACAUGAGCUUUACAUAUGAAAAAAAUUUUUUAUGUUUUAAUGGGGUGUUAAAGUAUUUUUCAUACUUUUUUUGAUCCUAAUUUAGGAUAAAGGAAAAAGUUACCUUAGGGAUAACAGAGUAAUAAUUUUUAGAGUUCUUAUUAAAAAAAUUGUUUACCACCUCGAUGUUGAAUCAAAGAAACAAAAAAAUUGAAGUUGUUUUUUUUGUUGGUCUGUUCGACCAUUAAACCUUUACG